CCUACGGGAGGCAGCAGUAGGGAAUCUUCCGCAAUGGACGAAAGUCUGACGGAGCAACGCCGCGUGAGUGAUGAAGGCUUUCGGGUCGUAAAACUCUGUUGUUAGGGAAAGAACAAGUACGAGGAGUAACUGCUCGUACCUUGACGGUACCUAACCAGAAAGCCACGGCUAACUACGUGCCAGCAGCCGCGGUAAUACGUAGGUGGCAAGCGUUAUCCGGAAUUAUUGGGCGUAAAGCGCGCGCAGGCGGUUUCUUAAGUCUGAUGUGAAAGCCCACGGCUCAACCCGUGGAGGGUCAUUGGAAACUGGGGAACUUGAGUGCAGAAGAGAAAAGCGGAAUUCCACGUGUAGCGGUGAAAUGCGUAGAGAUGUGGAGGAACACCAGUGGCGAAGGCGGCUUUUUUGGUCUGUAACUGACGCUGAGGCGCGAAAGCGUGGGGAGCAAACAGGAUUAGAUACCCUGGUAGUCCACGCCGUAAACGAUGAGUGCUAAGUGUUAGAGGGUUUCCGCCCUUUAGUGCUGCAGCUAACGCAUUAAGCACUCCGCCUGGGGAGUACGGUCGCAAGACUGAAACUCAAAGGAAUUGACGGGGGCCCGCACAAGGCGGGUGGAGCAUGGUGGUUUAAUUCGAAGCAACGCGAAGAACCUUAC
RNAcentral lists this ribosomal RNA (652 nucleotides) under bacterium HN8-A-09. RNAcentral describes it as "bacterial SSU rRNA". It matches the Rfam family "Bacterial small subunit ribosomal RNA", at positions 338 to 974 of the family's 1533-position model. The record is from RNAcentral.